AACUCCCUCCUGGUAUCCAGGGCAGAGAAGGUGCUGGCUGCCAAGGGCUGCUAUGACCCAAGCCACCCAUGUGCUGGCUUCAAAGGCCAGGGAGUUGCCUGGUGGGAAAGAUGUGGACCAGGACAGACCCAGCAGAGGCAGGUGCCAGUGGCCGGUGGUGGAUUGGGCACAGAGCUGCGGGGAUAACCUGAAGAGUGCAGAACAGCAUCUGCCCCAUCCCCUCUGGUGGAAACAUCGCCCCUGCUUCUCUUGCCCUUUGCUGGAACAUGAGUCACCGAGCAAGGCCGCUGCAAGGAGUCAGGGAACAGGAACAGCAUCUGCCCCAUCCCUCGGGUGGAAGCAUCGCCCCUGCUUCUCUCGCCCUUUGCUGGAACGUGAGUCACCGAGCAAGGCCGCUGCAAGGAGCCAGGGAACGGGGUGAGUGUCCAGCCUACCCGACUCUUCCAACACCCCCUUCUUCUGGCGACGGUGUGUAACAGCAAAAG
Molecule: long non-coding RNA, 485 nt
Organism: Alligator sinensis (Chinese alligator)
Lineage: Eukaryota; Metazoa; Chordata; Crocodylia; Alligatoridae
Exons: 3
Source: RefSeq, a predicted model, not a curated record